Molecule: ribosomal RNA, 253 nt
Filed under: uncultured bacterium
Lineage: Bacteria
Description: partial 16S ribosomal RNA
Rfam family: Bacterial small subunit ribosomal RNA
Source: RNAcentral
UACGAAGGGUGCAAGCGUUACUCGGAAUUACUGGGCGUAAAGGGUGCGUAGGCGGUCAUUUAAGUCUGACGUGAAAUCUCCGGGCCUAACCCGGAAACUGCGUUGGAAACUAUCUGACUAGAGGAAUGGAGGGGAGACUGGAAUACUUGGUGUAGCAGUGAAAUGCGUAGAUAUCAAGUGGAACACCAGUGGCGAAGGCGAGUCUCUGGACAUUUCCUGACGCUGAGGCACGAAAGCCAGGGGAGCAAACGGG